UAGCAAUACUUUGGUGGCGACCGGCGCACGGGUGCGUAACGCGUAUGCAACCUACCUUUAACAGGGGCAUAACACUGAGAAAUUGGUACUAAUUCCCCAUAACAUUCGAGAAGGCAUCUUCUUGGGUUAAAAACUCCGGUGGUUAAAGAUGGGCAUGCGUUGUAUUAGCUAGUUGGUGAGGUAACGGCUCACCAAGGCAACGAUACAUAGGGGGACUGAGAGGUUAACCCCCCACAUUGGUACUGAGACACGGACCAAACUCCUACGGGAGGCAGCAG
This 278-nucleotide ribosomal RNA is filed under the name uncultured bacterium. RNAcentral describes it as "partial 16S ribosomal RNA". It matches the Rfam family "Bacterial small subunit ribosomal RNA", at positions 77 to 354 of the family's 1533-position model. The record is from RNAcentral.